RNAcentral lists this ribosomal RNA (492 nucleotides) under uncultured bacterium. Its description in RNAcentral is "partial 16S ribosomal RNA". It matches the Rfam family "Bacterial small subunit ribosomal RNA", at positions 29 to 507 of the family's 1533-position model. The record is from RNAcentral.
AGUGAACGCUGGCGGUAGGCCUAACACAUGCAAGUCGAACGGCAGCACAGUAAGAGCUUGCUCUUACGGGUGGCGAGUGGCGGACGGGUGAGGAAUACAUCGGAAUCUACUUUUUCGUGGGGGAUAACGUGGGGAAACUUACGCUAAUACCGCAUACGACCUACGGGUGAAAGCAGGGGAUCUUCGGACCUUGCGCGACUGAAUGAGCCGAUGUCGGAUUAGCUAGUUGGCGGGGUAAAGGCCCACCAAGGCGACGAUCCGUAGCUGGUCUGAGAGGAUGAUCAGCCACACUGGAACUGAGACACGGUCCAGACUCCUACGGGAGGCAGCAGUGGGGAAUAUUGGACAAUGGGCGCAAGCCUGAUCCAGCCAUGCCGCGUGGGUGAAGAAGGCCUUCGGGUUGUAAAGCCCUUUUGUUGGGAAAGAAAAGCAGCAGGUUAAUACCCCGCUGUUCUGACGGUACCCAAAGAAUAAGCACCGGCUAACUUCGUG